RNAcentral lists this ribosomal RNA (464 nucleotides) under Vreelandella stevensii. Its description in RNAcentral is "partial 16S ribosomal RNA". It matches the Rfam family "Bacterial small subunit ribosomal RNA", at positions 338 to 795 of the family's 1533-position model. The record is from RNAcentral. Lineage: Bacteria; Pseudomonadati; Pseudomonadota; Gammaproteobacteria; Oceanospirillales; Halomonadaceae.
CCUACGGGGGCUGCAGUGGGGAAUAUUGGACAAUGGGCGAAAGCCUGAUCCAGCCAUGCCGCGUGUGUGAAGAAGGCCUUCGGGUUGUAAAGCACUUUCAGUGGGGAAGAAAGCCUUGGGGCUAAUACCCUCGAGGAAGGACAUCACCCACAGAAGAAGCACCGGCUAACUCCGUGCCAGCAGCCGCGGUAAUACGGAGGGUGCGAGCGUUAAUCGGAAUUACUGGGCGUAAAGCGCGCGUAGGCGGUCUGAUAAGCCGGUUGUGAAAGCCCCGGGCUCAACCUGGGAACGGCAUCCGGAACUGUCAGGCUAGAGUGCAGGAGAGGAAGGUAGAAUUCCCGGUGUAGCGGUGAAAUGCGUAGAGAUCGGGAGGAAUACCAGAGGCGAAGGCGGCCUUCUGGACUGACACUGACGCUGAGGUGCGAAAGCGUGGGUAGCAAACAGGAUUAGAUACCCCAGUAGUC